GAAUUUUGGACAAUGGGCGAAAGCCUGAUCCAGCCAUGCCGCGUGAGUGAUGAAGGCCUUAGGGUUGUAAAGCCCUUUCACCGAUGAAGACAAUGACGGUAGUCGGAGAAGAAGCCCCGGCUAACUUCGUGCCAGCAGCCGCGGUAAUACGAAGGGGGCUAGCGUUGUUCGGAUUUACUGGGCGUAAAGCGCACGUAGGCGGAUUGGUCAGUUAGAGGUGGGAUCCCGAAGCUCAACUUCGGAACUGCCUUUAGUACUGCCAGUCUCGAGUCCGGAAGAGGUAAGUGGACCUACUAGUGUAGAGGUGGAAUUCGUAGAUAUUAGGAAGAACAACAGUGGCGAAGGCGGCUUACUGGUCCGGAACUGACGCUGAGGUGCGAAAGCGUGGGGAGCAAACAG
Molecule: ribosomal RNA, 399 nt
Filed under: uncultured bacterium
Lineage: Bacteria
Description: partial 16S ribosomal RNA
Rfam family: Bacterial small subunit ribosomal RNA
Source: RNAcentral